Molecule: non-coding RNA, 791 nt
Organism: Peromyscus maniculatus bairdii (prairie deer mouse)
Lineage: Eukaryota; Metazoa; Chordata; Mammalia; Rodentia; Cricetidae
Source: RefSeq, a predicted model, not a curated record
UGGGGCUUCUCUGGGAGCUCUGUCUAGGCAAAGGAGUCUAGUGUCUACAGGAGCAAUGUUUCAUAUUGAAGAAGUGUCUUCCAGCCCCUGGUGGCACUUCUGACAGCAAAGGAGGACGAGUUACACUUGGCAGAUUCCUGGAGAGCCUUGCACGCACAUCCAUCUGACAUCUCCUGAGCCUGGGCCACAGAAGUGAUCCAACAGGAGUCCGUUGCCUAAUUUGACUCACGAUGCCUGCAGUGUCUUCAAAGUUUUAAGCAUUUACUAUCCAUUUAAUUAAAAAAGGCAGAAUGAAUAGCUGUCGUCUCUGCUGUGCAUAAUUGGAAAAUCUGGUGGGAACCGUGCACCUGGGAACCCGAAUUGGACACCAUUCCAAGCUUACAGAAACAAGUCACCUUGCGGCCUUAACAGUCUGAAGGCCCUGGGACAGCUUUCAGAGAAGCCCUGUUCUGCUUGCACCAAAUACAGAUUCCAACAGCUGUGGAUGGGUUACCUGGGAUAGGGUUGCUCCCUAGAAUGGAAUGACCAGGACAAUAUCUUCUGGGAAGACACCCUUGGGGAGCCAGGCUGCCAGAGACAUCCUGAGCUCCUUACCGAGGAUUCUUAUAAACCAGUAAGUUUCAUCCUCUCUGGAACAUCCUGGCUCGCAGUGCUAGAAGCUUGUUAGUGCUGUGCCAAUGCUUCUGUGCUUAAGAGACAGGCAUACUACCCAGCGAUACUUCUUCAAGUACUGCCUGGGACAUCAAUCAAACCUCAUCCCCUGGCUCCUAGGAAGGUGCUCCUGAUGAACA